GCUGCGCCUACGGAACGAAAGUAUCUCUUCCGAAACCUCUUUUUUCAAGAACCAACUCCGAAGCAGCCAUGUAAAGAAGCUUCUUUGAAUUUCGACUCGCUCAGAUAUCGAACAGCGUUUGAUAUCGGUUUUCGAAUUUAAAGACCCAGGUUUUCAGAUAGUUUUGGUGGACUGACUGUAAGCUUUAUCGCCGAACGCAAAAAUGCUAUUUGUAGCGGCAAUCAUAAUACAGGCAAGCACCUUAAUGAUUCGGUCUUGUGCCUCGGUUGGGGCUGAAAUAAUAACAAGCGGGUUGUGCGGAGUUUAACGGUGGACAACCUGACACUCAAUUGAAAACGAAGACAAAAGGUACCGUGAACCGAAGCAGAUUUUUCAGAGAACACCAUCUUUGACUGUUUCGGCGAGUAAUUCCGACUUAAAGGCAUCCCAUCCACCCUCUUCAAUCAGCG
Molecule: long non-coding RNA, 449 nt
Organism: Uranotaenia lowii
Lineage: Eukaryota; Metazoa; Arthropoda; Insecta; Diptera; Culicidae
Exons: 4
Source: RefSeq, a predicted model, not a curated record